UGGCAGCAGUGGGGAAUUUUGCGCAAUGGGGGAAACCCUGACGCAGCAACGCCGCGUGGGUGAUGAAGGCCUUCGGGUCGUAAAGCUCUGUCUGGAGGGAAGAAAUGAUUGGGAGCUAAUACCUCUUGAUCUUGACGGUACCUCUGAAGGAAGCACCGGCUAACUCCGUGCCAGCAGCCGCGGUAAUACGGAGGGUGCAAGCGUUGUUCGGAAUUAUUGGGCGUAAAGCGCGUGUAGGCGGUCUUUUAAGUCUGAUGUGAAAGCCCCGGGCUCAACCUGGGAAGUGCAUUGGAAACUGGUAAACUUGAGUACGGUAGAGGUAAGUGGAAUUCCAAGUGGAGCGGUGGAAUGCGUAGAUAUUUGGAGGAACACCAGUGGCGAAGGCGGCUUACUGGGCCGGAACUGACGCUGAGGCACGAAAGCGUGGGGAGCAAACAGGAUUAGAUACCC
Molecule: ribosomal RNA, 450 nt
Filed under: uncultured bacterium
Lineage: Bacteria
Description: bacterial SSU rRNA
Rfam family: Bacterial small subunit ribosomal RNA
Source: RNAcentral